AUUGAACGCUGGCGGCAGGCCUAACACAUGCAAGUCGAGCGGAUGACGGGAGCUUGCUCCUUGAUUCAGCGGCGGACGGGUGAGUAAUGCCUAGGAAUCUGCCUGGUAGUGGGGGACAACGUUUCGAAAGGAACGCUAAUACCGCAUACGUCCUACGGGAGAAAGCAGGGGACCUUCGGGCCUUGCGCUAUCAGAUGCGCCUAGGUCGGAUUAGCUAGUUGGUGGGGUAAUGGCCCACCAAGGCGACGAUCCGUAACUGGUCUGAGAGGAUGAUCAGUCACACUGGAACUGAGACACGGUCCAGACUCCUACGGGAGGCAGCAGUGGGGAAUAUUGGACAAUGGGCGAAAGCCUGAUCCAGCCAUGCCGCGUGUGUGAAGAAGGUCUUCGGAUUGUAAAGCACUUUAAGUUGGGAGGAAGGGCAGUAAGCUAAUACCUUGCUGUUUUGACGUUACCGACAGAAUAAGCACCGGCUAACUCUGUGCCAGCCGCCGCAGUAA
Molecule: ribosomal RNA, 500 nt
Filed under: uncultured bacterium
Lineage: Bacteria
Description: partial 16S ribosomal RNA
Rfam family: Bacterial small subunit ribosomal RNA
Source: RNAcentral